RNAcentral lists this ribosomal RNA (821 nucleotides) under Letendraea helminthicola. RNAcentral's name for it is "LSU rRNA". It matches the Rfam family "Eukaryotic large subunit ribosomal RNA", at positions 114 to 954 of the family's 3401-position model. The record is from RNAcentral. Lineage: Eukaryota; Fungi; Ascomycota; Dothideomycetes; Pleosporales; Didymosphaeriaceae.
UUUGAAAUCUGGCUCCUUUGGGAGUCCGAGUUGUAAUUUGCAGAGGGUGCUUUGGCAUAGGCGGCGGUCUAAGUUCCUUGGAACAGGACAUCGCAGAGGGUGAGAAUCCCGUACGUGGGCGCCUGCCUUUGCCGUGUAAAGCCCCUUCGACGAGUCGAGUUGUUUGGGAAUGCAGCUCUAAAUGGGAGGUAAAUUUCUUCUAAAGCUAAAUACCGGCCAGAGACCGAUAGCGCACAAGUAGAGUGAUCGAAAGAUGAAAAGUACUUUGGAAAGAGAGUCAAAAAGCACGUGAAAUUGUUGAAAGGGAAGCGCUUGCAGCCAGACUUGCCCGCAGUUGCUCACCUAGGCUUCGGCCUGGGGCACUCUUCUGUGGGCAGGCCAGCAUCAGUUUGGGCGGUUGGAUAAAGGCCUCUGUCACGUAUCUCUCUUCGGGGAGACCUUAUAGGGGAGGCGUAAUGCAACCAGCCCGGACUGAGGUCCGCGCAUCUGCUAGGAUGCUGGCGUAAUGGCUGUAAGCGGCCCGUCUUGAAACACGGACCAAGGAGUCUAACAUCUAUGCGAGUGUUUGGGUGUCAAGCCCGGGCGCGUAAUGAAAGUGAACGGAGGUGGGAACCGCAAGGUGCACCAUCGACCGAUCCUGAUGUCUUCGGAUGGAUUUGAGUAAGAGCAUAGCUGUUGGGACCCGAAAGAUGGUGAACUAUGCUUGAAUAGGGUGAAGCCAGAGGAAACUCUGGUGGAGGCUCGCAGCGGUUCUGACGUGCAAAUCGAUCGUCAAAUUUGGGCAUAGGGGCGAAAGACUAAUCGAACCAUCUAGUAGCUGG